Molecule: ribosomal RNA, 460 nt
Filed under: uncultured bacterium
Lineage: Bacteria
Description: partial 16S ribosomal RNA
Rfam family: Bacterial small subunit ribosomal RNA
Source: RNAcentral
CCUACGGGAGACAGCAGUGAGGAAUAUUGGUCAAUGGACGAGAGUCUGAACCAGCCAAGUAGCGUGAAGGAUGACUGCCCUAUGGGUUGUAAACUUCUUUUAUAUGGGAAUAAAAUGUUCCACGUGUGGGAUUUUGUAUGUACCAUAUGAAUAAGGCUCGGCUAACUCCGUGCCAGCAGCCGCGGUAAUACGGAGGAUCCGAGCGUUAUCCGGAUUUAUUGGGUUUAAAGGGAGCGUAGGUGGAUUGUUAAGUCAGUUGUGAAAGUUUGCGGCUCAACCGUAAAAUUGCAGUUGAAACUGGCAGUCUUGAGUACAGUAGAGGUGGGCGGAAUUCGUGGUGUAGCGGUGAAAUGCUUAGAUAUCACGAAGAACUCCGAUUGCGAAGGCAGUUCACUGGACUGCAACUGACACUGAGGCUCGAAAGUGUGGGUAUCAAACAGGAUUAGAUACCCCUGUAGUC